UCAGACGGCUGGACGGCCGCUUUCAAGGUUCGCCUUGGGGGAGGAAAGUCCGGGCUCCACGGAAGUACGGUGCCGGAUAACGUCCGGCGGGGGCGACCCUAGGGAAAGUGCCACAGAAAGCAAACCGCCAGCCCCGAACCGCAAGGUUACGGCUGGUAAGGGUGAAAGGGUGCGGUAAGAGCGCACCGCGCGACCGGCAACGGAAGCGGCACGGUAAACCCCACCGGGAGCAAGACCAAAUAGGGGCGGCGGUCUUCCCUUCGGGGAA
This 268-nucleotide RNase P RNA is filed under the name Rhodospirillales bacterium. Its description in RNAcentral is "partial RNase P RNA component class A". It matches the Rfam family "Bacterial RNase P class A", at positions 1 to 262 of the family's 367-position model. Rfam says of the family: Ribonuclease P (RNase P) is a ubiquitous endoribonuclease, found in archaea, bacteria and eukarya as well as chloroplasts and mitochondria. Its best characterised activity is the generation of mature 5'-ends of tRNAs by cleaving the 5'-leader elements of precursor-tRNAs. Lineage: Bacteria; Pseudomonadati; Pseudomonadota; Alphaproteobacteria; Rhodospirillales. The record is from RNAcentral.